RNAcentral lists this long non-coding RNA (727 nucleotides) under Phasianus colchicus (ring-necked pheasant). RNAcentral describes it as "lncRNA (ENSPCLG00000018878.1)". The record is from RNAcentral. Lineage: Eukaryota; Metazoa; Chordata; Aves; Galliformes; Phasianidae.
GGGCCCUAUGAGUUCACAUGGGGCAUUAUGGGGUCUGUGGGGCCCAAUGGGGCAUUAUGGGAUCUGUGGGGCCCUAUGGGGUGUUAUGGGGUCUGUGGGGCCCUAUGAGGUGUUAUGGGGUCUGUGGGGUCCUAUGGGGUCUGUGGGGCCCUAUGAAGUGUUAUGGGGUCUGUGGGGCCCUAUAGGGUCUGUGGGGCCCUAUUUGUUCAUAUGGGGCAUUAUGGGGUCUGUGGGGCCCUAUGGGGCAUUAUGGGAUCUGUGGGGCCCUAUGGGGUGUUAUGGGGUCUGUGGGACCCUAUGGGGCCUGUGGGGCCCUAUGAAGUGUUAUGGGGUCUGUGGGGCCCUAUAGGGUCUGUGGGGUCUGUGGGGCCCUGUUUGUUCAUAUGGGGCAUUAUGGGGCCUGUGGGGCCCUAUGGGGCUUUUUGGGUCUCUGUGGGGCCUGUGAGGCCCUAUGGGGCCCUAUGGGGUGUUAUGGGGUCUGUGAGGCCCUAUGAGUUAAUACGGAGCAUUAUGGGGUCUGUGGGGCUGUAUGGGGCGUUAUGGGGUCUCUGGGGCCGUAUGGGGUGUUAUGGGGUGUUAUGGGGUCUGUGUGGCUCUUUGGGGCCCUAUGGCUCGAUAUGGGGUCAGGGGGGCCAUAUGGGGCCACGCAGGAUUUCUAUAGGAUCUCUAUGGGGCCGUGGGGGUCUCAGGGCCACCAGCAGCGCUCAGCAGGGCCGUGUGCUGCCCC